This is a non-coding RNA of Pan troglodytes (chimpanzee), 148 nucleotides long. It matches the Rfam family "Metazoan signal recognition particle RNA". From Rfam's summary of the family: The signal recognition particle (SRP) is a universally conserved ribonucleoprotein. It is involved in the co-translational targeting of proteins to membranes. The record is from Rfam. NCBI's taxonomy places the organism in Eukaryota, Metazoa, Chordata, Mammalia, Primates, Hominidae.
GCUGGGUGCAGUGGCAUGAACCUGUAGUCCCAGUUAUUCGGGAGGCUGAGGUGGGAGGAUCACUUGAGCCCAGGAGUUCAAGGCUGCAGUGAGCUAUAAUCAUGCCACUGCACUGCAGCCUGGGCAACAGAGUGAGACCUUGCCUCUA